ACUCCUACGGGAGGCAGCAGUGGGGAAUAUUGCACAAUGGGCGCAAGCCUGAUGCAGCCAUGCCGCGUGUGUGAAGAAGGCCUUCGGGUUGUAAAGCACUUUCAGUUGUGAGGAAGGUGGUGUCGUUAAUAGCGGCAUCAUUUGACGUUAGCAACAGAAGAAGCACCGGCUAACUCCGUGCCAGCAGCCGCGGUAAUACGGAGGGUGCGAGCGUUAAUCGGAAUUACUGGGCGUAAAGCGCAUGCAGGUGGUUUGUUAAGUCAGAUGUGAAAGCCCGGGGCUCAACCUCGGAACUGCAUUUGAAACUGGCAGACUAGAGUACUGUAGAGGGGGUAGAAUUUCAGGUGUAGCGGUGAAAUGCGUAGAGAUCUGAAGGAAUACCGGUGGCGAAGGCGGCCCCUGGACAGAUACUGACACUCAGAUGCGAAAGCGUGGGAGCAAACAGGAUUAGAUACCCUGGUAGCACAGAG
RNAcentral lists this ribosomal RNA (470 nucleotides) under uncultured bacterium. RNAcentral's name for it is "bacterial SSU rRNA". It matches the Rfam family "Bacterial small subunit ribosomal RNA", at positions 335 to 799 of the family's 1533-position model. The record is from RNAcentral.